CCUACGGGUGGCUGCAGUGGGGAAUUUUGGACAAUGGGGGCAACCCUGAUCCAGCCAUGCCGCGUGCGGGAAGAAGGCCUUCGGGUUGUAAACCGCUUUUGUCAGGGAAGAAAUCUUCCGAGCUCAUACCUUGGGAGGAUGACGGUACCUGAAGAAUAAGCACCGGCUAACUACGUGCCAGCAGCCGCGGUAAUACGUAGGGUGCUAGCGUUAAGCGGAGUUUCCGGGGGUAGUUGGUGCGCACAGGUGUGAAAUCCCCGGGCUUAACCUGGGAACUGCACUUGUGACUGUACGGCUGGAGUACGGCAGAGGGGGAUGGAAUUCCGCGUGUAGCAGUGAAAUGCGUAGAUAUGCGGAGGAACACCGAUGGCGAAGGCAGUCCCCUGGGCCUGUACUGACGCUCAUGCACGAAAGCGUGGGGAGCAAACAGGAUUAGAUACCCUGGUAGUC
RNAcentral lists this ribosomal RNA (450 nucleotides) under uncultured bacterium. RNAcentral's name for it is "partial 16S ribosomal RNA". It matches the Rfam family "Bacterial small subunit ribosomal RNA", at positions 338 to 795 of the family's 1533-position model. The record is from RNAcentral.